GCGCAGCAGGCGCGAAACCUCCGCAAUGCACGCAAGUGCGACGGGGGAACCCCAAGUGCCACUCUUAACGGGGUGGCUUUUCAGAAGUGUAAAAAGCUUCUGGAAUAAGGGCUGGGCAAGACCGGUGCCAGCCGCCGCGGUAACACCGGCAGCUCAAGUGGUAGCCGCUUUUAUUGGGCCUAAAGCGUCCGUAGCCGGUCUGAUAAGUCUCUGGUGAAAUCCCGCAGCUUAACUGUGGGAAUUGCUGGAGAUACUAUCAUGACUCGAGGUCGGGAGAGGCUGGAGGUACUCCCAGGGUAGGGGUGAAAUCCUGUAAUCCUGGGAGGACCACCUGUGGCGAAGGCGUCCAGCUGGAACGAACCUGACGGUGAGGGACGAAAGCCAGGGGCGCGAACCGGAUUAGAUACCCGGGUAGUCCUGGCCGUAAACGAUGUGGACUUGGNGUUGGGA
This 450-nucleotide ribosomal RNA is filed under the name uncultured Methanobacteriales archaeon. RNAcentral's name for it is "bacterial SSU rRNA". It matches the Rfam family "Archaeal small subunit ribosomal RNA", at positions 330 to 779 of the family's 1478-position model. The record is from RNAcentral. Lineage: Archaea; Methanobacteriati; Methanobacteriota; Methanobacteria; Methanobacteriales.